This 292-nucleotide ribosomal RNA is filed under the name uncultured bacterium. RNAcentral's name for it is "partial 16S ribosomal RNA". It matches the Rfam family "Bacterial small subunit ribosomal RNA", at positions 505 to 796 of the family's 1533-position model. The record is from RNAcentral.
GUGCCAGCCGCCGCGGUAAUACGGAGGGUCCGAGCGUUAUCCGGAAUCAUUGGGUUUAAAGGGUCCGUAGGCGGGCCGUUAAGUCAGGGGUGAAAGUCUGCGGCUCAACCGUAGAAUUGCCUUUGAUACUGGCGGUCUUGAGUCAUGGUGGGGUUGCCGGAACAUGUGGUGUAGCGGUGAAAUGCAUAGAUAUCACAUAGAACACCGAUCGCGAAGGCAGGUGACCAACCAUGUACUGACGCUGAUGGACGAAAGCGUGGGUAGCGAACGGGAUUAGAUACCCCGGUAGUCC